GCUAUGUUAGCAGUGAAGCGGGGGCUUCAGAAUUCUAGGCUCACUUUUUCUCUAGACAAGAAAUUCCCAAGGGACGAUGCCGAUCUGCUUACGUGGGUGUAAAAAUAUGUGUGAGCUAAAGAAGCUACUAUUGAUUGGAAGAAAGCUGAGGGUGAGAAAGCCAACAAAAAGAAACAAGCUUGGGAGGAGCUAAGCAGGGCUCAAGGUGAUCGAAAAGCCCCUCAUUGACCUUGAAGUCCAAGAUCGAAGAGCCUGCCUCAUCAGUUUACUAACUAUACCCCUUUAUCUACUCAAGCUCAGAUCAUCAUAGAGAUA
RNAcentral lists this long non-coding RNA (315 nucleotides) under Elaeis guineensis (African oil palm). RNAcentral's name for it is "long non-coding RNA (EGUI_LNC064449)". The record is from RNAcentral. Lineage: Eukaryota; Viridiplantae; Streptophyta; Magnoliopsida; Arecales; Arecaceae.